UACGUAGGGAGCGAGCGUUAUCCGGAUUUAUUGGGUGUAAAGGGUGCGUAGGCGGCUUUUUAGGUCUAAGGUUUAAGCCCGGAGCUUAACUCCGGUUCGCCUUAGAAACCGAUUGGCUUGAGUAUGGUAGAGGCAAGUGGAAUUUCUAGUGUAGCGGUAAAAUGCGUAGAUAUUAGAAGGAACACCAGUGGCGAAGGCGACUUGCUGGGCCAUUACUGACGCUGAGGCACGAAAGCGUGGGGAGCAAAUAG
This 251-nucleotide ribosomal RNA is filed under the name uncultured bacterium. Its description in RNAcentral is "partial 16S ribosomal RNA". It matches the Rfam family "Bacterial small subunit ribosomal RNA", at positions 524 to 775 of the family's 1533-position model. The record is from RNAcentral.